CCUGCAAUCACGACCUGAGCUGAAAUCAAGAGUCUGACACUUAACCAACUGAGCCACCCAGGACAAGCUGGAGGUGGAAGUGUAACCUGAGUUUGGCCAACCAAAUGCUCCUCGGAGCCCAAGAACGCAUGGCAAGGACAGAGAAACGGUGGGCUGGAGGAAGGUUAAAAUAUCAACUAUCAAAGAGAUCCUUAACUGGCUACACCCCUGGACAAGCACUGUCACAACUUCCAUGACCGCUUUUGUGGGGAGCCUCACGGAAACUUCCCUGUCAGGCUGUCACGAGGCCCUUCCUCCCUGCUGCUGACCACGUGCAAAUCUUGGAGAGGUCUUGAUGGGUGAAGCACUGCCUGGUGAGCUCUCCUUUCUGCCUUCCUGCUGGGUGGUUAUUAUAGAGGGCAACUUGUCAUUUCAGAACCCGGGAGCAGGCAAACCUGGCUGACCAUCCCACAUGUACUGCUGCAUAGUGACCCCCAGGGACAGCCUGAUGACAUCUUAGAAAUGGCUCUGAGCCCCCACACUUAACAGUCAGUCCAUUCAUACACCGUGGCUGAGGUGAAGUAUCCCUUGAUCAUUCCAUUCUUUGGAGACU
Long non-coding RNA from Ailuropoda melanoleuca (giant panda), 592 nucleotides. RefSeq lists it as uncharacterized. The transcript has 3 exons. The record is from RefSeq and is a predicted model, not a curated record. NCBI's taxonomy places the organism in Eukaryota, Metazoa, Chordata, Mammalia, Carnivora, Ursidae.